GCUCUGGCAGAGGAGCCCAGCCCUGGAUUCUCAGGUCCUCCCACUCAGUAAUCAGCAGUGAUCAGAGACCAGUCACCAUGGACUUGGGGCUGAGUUGGCUUUUCCUUGUCCUUAUUUUAAGAGGUGUCCAGUGUGAGGUGCAGCUGGUGGAGUCUGGGGGAGGCUUAGUGCAGCCUGGAAAGUUCCUGAAACUCUCCUGUGCAGCCUCUGGAUUCACCUUCAGUGACUAUGGAAUGAACUGGGUCCGCCAGGCUCCAGGGAAGGGGCUGGAGUGGGUUGCAUACACUAAUAGUGAUAGUAGUUACAUCCAAUAUGCCAAUGCCGUGAAGGGCCGAUUCACCAUCUCCAGGGAGAAUGCCAAGAACACCCUGUACCUGGAAAUGAGCAGUCUGAGGUCUGAGGACACUGCCAUGUAUUACUGUACCAGAGUCACAGUGAUACACUGCUACUGUGAGCUCAGACACAAACCUCCCUGCAGGGAAAUCUGGACCAGCAGGGGGCGCGGAGAGCAAAGAGAGCUCAGGGUCCCAGAAGAGCCCACUCAGAGAGGCAUAGAGAGCUGGACUCCACUGUGUCUGACCUACCACCUCUCCAUAACAUACUCAGAGAUUCUCGCCACAGAUCAUGGGCAACAGACCAGCAUAGACCCAGCUGUGGUGCUGGUAAUGAAAUGUGUGAGAGGCUCCAGCACUGAGAAGUGA
Non-coding RNA from Peromyscus leucopus (white-footed mouse), 701 nucleotides. NCBI's taxonomy places the organism in Eukaryota, Metazoa, Chordata, Mammalia, Rodentia, Cricetidae. The record is from the annotation of a RefSeq genome assembly.